UCCUCGAUAGCUCAGUCGGUAGAGCGCACGGCUGUUAACCGUUAGGUCGUAGGUUCGAGUCCUACUCGGGGAG
RNAcentral lists this transfer RNA (73 nucleotides) under Lachnospiraceae bacterium. RNAcentral's name for it is "tRNA-Asn". It matches the Rfam family "tRNA". From Rfam's summary of the family: Transfer RNA (tRNA) molecules are approximately 80 nucleotides in length. Their secondary structure includes four short double-helical elements and three loops (D, anti-codon, and T loops). Further hydrogen bonds mediate the characteristic L-shaped molecular structure. tRNAs have two regions of fundamental functional importance: the anti-codon, which is responsible for specific mRNA codon recognition, and the 3' end, to which the tRNAs corresponding amino acid is attached (by aminoacyl-tRNA synthetases). tRNAs cope with the degeneracy of the genetic code in two manners: having more than one tRNA (with a specific anti-codon) for a particular amino acid; and 'wobble' base-pairing, i.e. permitting non-standard base-pairing at the 3rd anti-codon position. The record is from RNAcentral. Lineage: Bacteria; Bacillati; Bacillota; Clostridia; Lachnospirales; Lachnospiraceae.